UGAUCCUGGCUCAGGAUGAACGCUAGCGGCAGGCCUAAUACAUGCAAGUCGGACGGGAUCCAUCGGUAGCUUGCUACCGAUGGUGAGAGUGGCGCACGGGUGCGUAACGCGUGAGCAACCUGCCCAUAUCAGGGGGAUAGCCCGGAGAAAUCCGGAUUAACACCGCAUGACACUGCAUCCCGGCAUCGGGAGGCAGUUAAAUAUUCAUAGGAUAUGGAUGGGCUCGCGCGACAUUAGCUAGUUGGUGGGGUAACGGCCCACCAAGGCGACGAUGUCUAGGGGCUCUGAGAGGAGAAUCCCCCACACUGGUACUGAGACACGGACCAGACUCCUACGGGAGGCAGCAGUAAGGAAUAUUGGUCAAUGGGGGCAACCCUGAACCAGCCAUGCCGCGUGCAGGACGACUGCCCUAUGGGUUGUAAACUGCUUUUGUUAGGGAAUAAACCCCACUACGUGUAGUGGGCUGAAUGUACCUAAAGAAUAAGGAUCGGCUAACUCCGUGCCAGCAGCCGCGGUAAUACGGAGGAUCCGAGCGUUAUCCGGAUUUAU
This 549-nucleotide ribosomal RNA is filed under the name uncultured bacterium. Its description in RNAcentral is "bacterial SSU rRNA". It matches the Rfam family "Bacterial small subunit ribosomal RNA", at positions 14 to 554 of the family's 1533-position model. The record is from RNAcentral.